CUCUCAGGGAGCAACGAGAGCGGCGGCAGCGGCUUUUUUGCCCCAUCUCGUCUGCACGUUUCCCAAACGCUUCCCCGUUUUCAGAUUUAGCGGCCUAGAGCCAUGUUACACUGCCAUAAUUUAACCGUGGAGCAUGUUUUACGGUCACGCGGGCCCCACCGGCGCCAGGCAGACAGCAGGCUGAUACGCGUCAGGGCCGAGCGGGCGCGAGCACGGCAGGCAGGCGGGCCGAGCCGGGGCGGGCGCUGGCGCGCGCCUCAACACAUACAAGGUCACGCUGCUGCUCACCCGCUGCAGUUGCUCAGCUCAUGGGCAGCUUUACCAGCGGCACUCCACGGGCAGCUGGACCGGCAGGCCGCAGAAGCAGAGCUGCGCUGAGGGCCCGCGGCCCGCCCUGAAGCCUGCCCCGCCCGGCGACUGGGCCGCCCCCGCUGAGGUCAGGGGGCUCCAAGCAAUCGCGGGCUGUUUGUUUUGCCAGCAGUCAGACGUCCUCGCUGAAGAGUAACAGCUGGUCACGAACACCGCAGACUACUUAAACAGUGUUCCAGUACGCAAAGGAGCUGCUAAAAAGUAAUGCAGUACAGUUCUCAAGUCUACCAAUAAGCACAUGUGGAGCAUUGAAAUCACAGGAAUUUUGAAUCGCUGUUCAACAUACUCUGAAGUUCAGGUAGAACUGUACUUUGGAUUUCUUAUACCUUCAGAUUUCUAACUUUCAGCCAAAUCUGCGACAAAAGAAACACCUCAGGAAAAUGUUAUUCUGUCAUACUAGAGAUGCAAUUAUUUUAAAGGAAAACAGGAGAAAAAAAUAAAUCCAGAAGCAACAGGGUAAGUUAUAGCACGAUGGGAUAAUUUCUAUCCUUAUAACAAGGUAAGUUGUAAUAUGAUUCCUGGAUAGCUACAGGAAAAGGUUAAAGCCUGAAUUUACCUCUACUACACAAUGAAUUCCCAACAGUGACCUAUUUUCAUCACUUGCGCUGCACAUUGUGUAAAAAACAAUGCACUUUCCUCAUCACUUUGUCAAAGAUGCACCUAAAAAGGAUCACACUGACAAUAUACGAGAAAUGUACAACACUGAGUACUGCAGUUGAAAAUUAGUGUUCACAAAUGAAAAACUGUAUUAAUUUUAGGACUACAAACAGACUAGAAAAAAUGUGGACAUUUAAUAAUAUCUCCUGCUUUGAGUCAUUUAGACAGAACUAUCCUAUUGUUCUCUUCAGACUAUUUUUAUCUGAGGAAAAAAAAUACUUAAAGACUCUCUGAAAUACGUUGUGCUGUAUCAAAAAAAUAAAACUAAUUUAUGCUGUAAAAAAAUAGACAAUGAUUUACUACAUAUUUUUCUCUGAUUUUUCUUUUCAAACAAUCUAAGACAAAAACUCUUAAUGAGGCUCUAAAGACAAAAGUUAUGAUGCUGAAUCAGCAAAAAAUUAUGGAUAUAUUUACAUUAAAAAUUAAAGUUUAAGACAAACUUUUACUGCCACUGAAAUCCAAGUUAAAUAAAACAAUUCAUGGAAUCAUAGAAUCACCAAGGUUGGAAAAGACCCACAGGAUCAUCCAGUCCAACCAUCCGCCCUUCACCAAUGGUUCUUGCUAAACCAUGUCCCUCAGCACAACAU
Molecule: long non-coding RNA, 1613 nt
Organism: Gallus gallus (chicken)
Lineage: Eukaryota; Metazoa; Chordata; Aves; Galliformes; Phasianidae
Exons: 3
Source: RefSeq, a predicted model, not a curated record